Molecule: ribosomal RNA, 403 nt
Filed under: uncultured bacterium
Lineage: Bacteria
Description: partial 16S ribosomal RNA
Rfam family: Bacterial small subunit ribosomal RNA
Source: RNAcentral
AUUGAACGCUGGCGGCAGGCCUAACACAUGCAAGUCGAGCGAGCGGCGGACGGGUGAGUAAUGUAUGGGGACUGCCCGAUAGAGGGGGAUAACUACUGGAAACGGUGGCUAAUACCGCAUACUAUCGGAUAACCCAUAUGGGAUUAGCUAGUAGGUGGGGUAAAGGCUCACCUAGGCGACGAUCCCUAGCUGGUCUGAGGGGAUGAUCGGCCGAACGGCGACAGCGACACGGCCCAGACUCCUACGGAGGCAGCAGGGGGGAAUAUUGCAAAAUGGGAGGAAGCGGGAUGCAGCCAUGCCGCGUGGAUGAAGAAGGCAUUAGGGUUGUAAAGUACUUAAAGCGGGUAGGCGGUAAGCGCAGAAGAAGCACCGGCUAACUCCGUGCCAGCAGCCGCGGUAAUAC